Long non-coding RNA from Dromaius novaehollandiae (emu), 1445 nucleotides. RefSeq lists it as uncharacterized. The transcript is spliced from 2 exons. The record is from RefSeq and is a predicted model, not a curated record. Lineage: Eukaryota; Metazoa; Chordata; Aves; Casuariiformes; Dromaiidae.
GUGGUCUCACUGAACUCAAGGAGAGAGACCGUAAAACUAUGAAAGAACAGAAGUGUUUGUUGCACUGAGACCACUAAUCUAUUUUUUCACUAAUUAAUUUUGUUCACCUCUCCCUUUCCUGUCUGUGUAAAGCAAUUACAGCCAAACAUUUAAAGGCAUUUAGAUAUCCAACUUUCACUUCUUUUUUUUUUCUAGCUUUUCAGUUUCCAAUUUUGCAUCUUUGUAGAUGAAUAAUUACUUGACAGAUGUGAAUGAAUACUUCUCUGUAUGUCCAAGCAUGGCUUUGUAGGUAGAAAAGCUUGCCUUUUUUUUUUUUUUAACCAGAUCAUGAAGAACAUAUUCCGUCCAUCUUUGAACGUCUACAAGACGAAUAUAGAAUCCAGGGUGAAUGAACUGUGACUGCAUCACAUCCAGUGUAGCAGGAGACUCUUUAAGAUCACAGCAGCCUUCAUUGAAGGAGACAAUGUUGUCAUUAUGGAAGAAGUUGCUGCCGGAAUACUAAAUUUUGACACUGACUGUGGAAUUAAUCUUGGUCUGAGAACCUUAGAAUCCUCAGAAGAAUUAAUUUAGAGGAUUGCUACAGCAAUGGAUCAGAAUGGUAUCUUCGAAGCACUUUCUGCUAAAAUACGACACCCAAAGAAAGUGACAGAAGAUUUUAAGCAGAAUGGAUUAUUUACUGCCCUGCCUGAAUGAACAUGAUGAGUGAGAUCACUGUAGUAACUAACACACAGACCCAUUCUUUUUCUGCAGUGCAAAAAAAUGGGUAGUAAUUACACACAUGCACACACAAGCUGGAGAAAAUGGCAAAGGACCUCUUUGACCCUUUGAAAAGGAAUGUAUCUUCCAUUUGCCACAAUUUUCAUUUGAAAAACAUGGUUGAAUUUCAACAAGCUUUGAAAUAAUUCAGUAAAUAACACGCAUGAGUGGCCAAAUUAUCAAAACUUGUGACUUCUUUUUUCCAAUGAAAAUAUUCUGAAAAGUAGGAGGUGGUUAAAAGUACACGGGGAAAAAACAUCUGUGAAAAGUAUCAUAACUGUUGGAGUCUCCGUUGGUUCUUAAGUUUCAAAGACAGAAGUGUGGGAUUUCUUAUUUUUUCAUAGAAACUGAAAUUUCACUGAAAACACUAUAAGCCAUAGGACUUCUAUGGCAUAUUACUCAUGUACUAGGGUAGAGCUUCAGGAGAAUUUCUUACUCUCCAUGUUGCUCUGUCAAACAACAUUUUUGCUUUUUCAUUCACAGCAUAAAUAAUUUUUACAUGAAAGGUAGUGUUUCUAUUUAGUGUAUAAUGUAUACAUAUACAUACACAUGCCUACUACUAAGAUGCUCUUUUUCUAUCUAAUUUGAAGUGUGCUAUACCUUCUUUGCAUUCAGAUACUGUAAUACUGCUGUUUACACCUAGGACAAAAUGUAUACUUCACGUAAUACAGAUGGUUGGGUUAGGAUGA